This 239-nucleotide long non-coding RNA is filed under the name Carica papaya (papaya). Its description in RNAcentral is "long non-coding RNA (CPAP_LNC015433)". Lineage: Eukaryota; Viridiplantae; Streptophyta; Magnoliopsida; Brassicales; Caricaceae. The record is from RNAcentral.
AGGUUAUUAGAAACUGUUCCCAGGUGACUAGAAUGGGUAAAGUUGUCUGCUUCGAUUGCCACCAACACCCUACCUCACCUACGAGAAUGUAAGAGGCAAGAAUAACCUUCUGUUAAGGAACUACACCAAGGGCUGCGAAUGCAUUCUCUGUCUCUACUAACCAAUACUCAACUUCUUCAAAAGUGGAUACCCUUGCAAAAAUAAAUGGAUUAAGUCUUUUGUACAUCUCGAUGUAGUCU